RNAcentral lists this long non-coding RNA (2327 nucleotides) under Canis lupus familiaris (dog). RNAcentral describes it as "lncRNA (ENSCAFG00000056879.1, ENSCAFG00805001952.1)". Lineage: Eukaryota; Metazoa; Chordata; Mammalia; Carnivora; Canidae. The record is from RNAcentral.
UUUUUUUUUUUUUUUUUUUUUUUUUUUUUUUUGUAGAUGGAGCAGAAUUUUAACCCAUGGGAAUGGGAGAUAGUAGAACAAUUCCCUAUGAUCUUACCACGCUGAGACAUAAUGGGUGCACAUGCUAGUAGGAGACAGAAUUGUGAGAAACUGGUUUCAUGUGACAGCUCAAUAACACACCCUUUUCCUCAUAUUCCUUUCUUCCCUUCCUUACUCUGGUUGCUUUCCUAAUACUUCUCUAGGAUUCUAGUUCCCAAGUAAAUGGUAGGAUACAAGCCCUUGCCUCAGGCUUUGCUUCCUGGGACCCAGGCCAGAUAUUCCUGAGUUGGAACACAUGGGAGUAGGACAUGUUUUUAAGCUCCCCAGAUAAUUUUCAGGCACCCUACAAUCUGUGAACUCCUGGAUCUAGAAUGUCAAUCUAGUGCAAAGAACUCUAACCUCGGUGAUCUUUCCAUCUUAACAUAUGCUGGAUAAAAGAAAGACAAUGCUAUUGUUCUUAUCCUGGAGGGAUAAGAAACACCUGACUUACUGAAGAGGAGGGAGAGAAACACCUGACUUACUGAAUGACAUCUACCCCAUGCUUCAAGGGGCUGCUGAAUGGCUCCUGACACCUGACAAUACCUAUUCUUACAUAGUGCACCAACUCACCUGUCCAUUUGGGCAUCUGGCCCAGCCUGUCAUGCCUGCACUGAUUUGUGAUGUCUGAUAGGCUUCACUCUGUCUUCUUUCCUGGCUCACAAUCAGUCAGAUACACUUCUUGGAUAUGUUGUCCACAGUCAUCUCUCUCUCUCUCUCUCUCUCUCUCUUACCUCUCUCUCUCUCUCUCUCAUACAUUCUUAUCUUUUUUCUUUUCUUUCCUUCCUCUUUUCCUCUUUCUUCCAUAAACCACUCCAAUCCUAAAGACCCUAAUUACUGUCCAUUAGCUCUUUUUUGGGAAAAUAUCAUGUUAAAAAUAAUAAAAAUAAAAAAUAAACUUUAGACUUUUUCCCCCAAAAGUUAUCGAGAACCAGCAGUCUCUGAUGCUUUGCCAUAGCUGUUUUCACCCUUAAUGUUACAUCUUUGAAGCUGGAUUAAAAGGGACACUGCCAGCAAACAUCUUUGGAAAUGCUAUAAAUAGCAAACUUGCAAGAUCAGGGAACAAAAGAGAAGCACAGCCAGUAUAAUUAGUUCACUUACUGAGCAAGUUGACUAUUCCAAGGCUGAGGACAGUGUUCCAGCUGAUGAGACUGUGGGUUGAGGAGGAAAGGAAAAUCAACUACCUGCACAGGCUGAGAGAAGGCACACAUGCGAUAUCCAAGCCCCAUUGGUCCCCAUCCCAGUGUAUGAGAAGUAGCCCACAAAGGUAUGGGGAAGCAGGAGCCCAAGGACUGAGUAUAUAUGAAACAUGAGAAGGGAAUCAAGGAGUCUGAUGCCAUAAAGCAAAAAGAAACACAGGACACAAGGAAGACAAUGCAGGACCCAGGUCAUCACAGGGAGGGACUAAGAGAUGUUCUUGUUCAGUGUUUUCCAAAUAAUAAUGUUAAUAAUAUUAGCUAACAUUUAUUGAGUACUAAUUAAAAGCACAUUUAAUCCUCCCAAAAACUCCCUUAAAGAAAGUACUAUUAUAAUCUUCAUUGCACAGGAGGGGAAACUGAGGUAUAGAAAGAUUAGGUACUUUGCACAAGGUUACACCUCUAAUUGCAAACUUUUUGAAGAAAUGGGAUGUUUUUGUAUUUUAUAAACUCGGAACCCUAAUAAUGAAAACAGAUGAAAGCAGAGUGAUGGGAGAAAGGAUCCUGGACCACAGAAUUCCAGCAUCCCUCAGAGCUCAACUGGAAAAGCAUUCCCUAAGCACAAGUGGAGGACCAGAGGGGGGAAUAGCAUUGUCCAAGGUUACAAGAACCAGCUAACAAUGAAACUGGAAGACACAUGUCCUCUGGAGCCCAGCACACUGCUCCUUCCUGCACUGCACUUCCCAGUUGAAGGGCCACCUCACGAAAACUCCAUUUCUCUUUUGAGUCACCACUGAACUGAGAACUUGGUUCUGUGCAUGCAGCACCUACUACACCUUCUACCUCCUAAGUCACUUAUAAGGUCCUUGAGAGCAGACUAUGCCUGUUUAUUAACCUUUGUAGCUCCCUAAGGACUUGCACAAAACUAGCUUACAGCAGAAACUCCAUAAAGUUUAUUAGAUAAAUCGAUGUUUUGAUGGACAGAGGAGUGAAUGAAAAAAUAUGUAAGCACCUUUUAACAUGUUAUAAAAAAUAAUACCUUGGAGAAUACAAAGCAUUUCUGUGCCUCGUCAUCUUUAAUUUUCAGUGCCAACUGAGAAGGAAUAUUAAUAUUCC